Molecule: ribosomal RNA, 378 nt
Filed under: uncultured bacterium
Lineage: Bacteria
Description: bacterial SSU rRNA
Rfam family: Bacterial small subunit ribosomal RNA
Source: RNAcentral
GAUGAACGCUAGCGGCAGGCUUAAUACAUGCAAGUCGUGGGGCAGCACAGUAUAGCAAUAUAUGGGUGGCGACCGGCAAACGGGUGCGGAACACGUACGCAACCUUCCUACAGGCGGGGAAUAGCCCAGAGAAAUUUGGAUUAAUACCCCAUAAAAUUUGAGAUGGCAUCAUCUUAUUAUUAAAGAUUUAUCACCUGAAGAUGGGCGUGCGGCUGAUUAGGUAGNGGUCGGGGUAACGGCCCACCAAGCCUACGAUCAGUAGCUGAUGUGAGAGCAUGAUCAGCACACGGGCACUGAGACACGGGCCCGACUCUACGGGAGGCAGCAGUAAGGAAUAUUGGUCAAUGGACGCAAGUCUGAACCAGCCAUGCCGCGUGG